Lontra canadensis (Northern American river otter) is the source of this 2851-nucleotide RNA transcript. It is a transcript of the gene named cell division cycle 14A, with no coding region annotated. NCBI's taxonomy places the organism in Eukaryota, Metazoa, Chordata, Mammalia, Carnivora, Mustelidae. The transcript is spliced from 16 exons. The record is from RefSeq and is a predicted model, not a curated record.
AUGGCCGCAGAGCCGUGAAAGUGGAGGGGGCUGAGGGAGGGCGGGGAAGACGGUCUGAGGGCGGACCUAGGGGGGAGGAGGAGGAAGAGUUGCUGCUGAAAGGAGGUGGCGAAGGAGGAGCCGGAGCAGCUGCUGCCAGCCGGCGGGCACUAGAGUCCUGCCCGCUGUCGCACGAGUAGCCACGGGCGCGAUCGGGGCCAGACGUCUCCUCCUCCAUGAUCACUUUGGGAGCGGGGGGAAGACUUUGCCCGGCCGUGAGAGCUGGUCUGCGUUUCACUGGCGCGGCGGCAGCGGAGCAGCGGCAGCAGCCGGGUCCGAAUCGGAGCGGCCACAGCCUGGGGCGUGUGCGCCCCGCGCGGAGCGGGCUCGGGUUCCCCACGGAAUGUCCCCGGGGCGCCCCGCGCGCUGACCCCCCAGCCGCCUCCGCCUUCGGCGCCUGCUGCCUCUCUCGGGCGGGCUCGGUGUUCGGGACUGCAAGCUUCCCGGCUCCUGGGCAGUGGGGAAGCCCCCGGGGGCGGGUGACCUCAGCUGGCCACGACCUAGUCCUCCCCCGUGCGUAUCUCGCUUAAGAUGGCAGCGGAGUCAGGGGAACUAAUCGGGGCUUGCGAGUUCAUGAAAGAUCGGUUAUAUUUUGCUACUUUAAGGAAUAGACCAAAAAGCACUGUAAAUACCCACUAUUUCUCCAUCGAUGAGGAGCUGGUCUAUGAAAAUUUUUAUGCAGAUUUUGGACCUCUGAACUUGGCAAUGGUGUACAGAUACUGCUGUAAACUAAACAAGAAACUGAAAUCAUACAGUUUAUCAAGAAAGAAAAUAGUGCACUACACCUGUUUUGAUCAACGGAAAAGAGCAAAUGCGGCAUUUUUGAUAGGUGCUUAUGCCGUAAUCUAUUUAAAGAAGACACCAGAAGAAGCCUACAGAGCACUCCUAUCUGGCUCAAACUCCCCCUACCUUCCGUUCAGGGAUGCUUCCUUUGGAAAUUGCACUUACAAUCUCACCAUCCUCGACUGUUUGCAGGGAAUCAGAAAGGGAUUACAACAUGGAUUUUUUGACUUUGAGACAUUUGAUGUGGAUGAAUAUGAACAUUAUGAGCGAGUUGAAAAUGGUGACUUCAACUGGAUUGUUCCAGGAAAAUUUUUAGCAUUUAGUGGACCACAUCCAAAAAGCAAAAUUGAAAAUGGCUAUCCUCUUCACGCCCCUGAAGCCUACUUUCCUUAUUUCAAAAAGCAUAACGUGACUGCAGUCGUGAGGCUGAACAAAAAGAUUUAUGAGGCGAAGCGCUUCACGGACGCGGGCUUCGAGCACUACGACCUCUUCUUCAUAGACGGCAGCACGCCCAGCGACAACAUUGUGCGGAGGUUCCUGAACAUCUGCGAGAACACGGACGGGGCGAUCGCGGUUCACUGCAAAGCUGGUCUUGGAAGAACAGGGACGUUGAUAGCCUGUUAUGUCAUGAAACAUUACAGGUUUACACAUGCUGAAAUAAUUGCUUGGAUCAGAAUUUGCCGGCCAGGCUCCAUUAUAGGACCCCAGCAGCACUUCCUAGAAGAAAAACAGGCAUCGUUAUGGGUCCAAGGAGACAUUUUCCGAUCCAAGCUGAAAAAUAGACCAUCCAGUGAAGGAAAUAUUAAUAAAAUUCUUUCUAGCUUGGAUGAUAUGUCUAUAGGUGGAAACUUAUCUAAAAUACAAAACGUGGACAGAUUUGGAGAGAAUAAUUUAGAAGAGGAUGAGGAUGUGGAAAUGAAAAACAGUAUAACCCAGGGAGACAAACUACGUGCCUUAAAAAGUCAGAGACAGCCACGCUCCUCACCAUCCUGUGCAUUCAGGUUGGAUGAUAUGAAAGGGCACCCAAGAGCAGUGUCCCAGCCUAUCAGAUUGACUUCGUCCCCACAAGGAUCUGCAACUACUUUGAAGACCUCAAAAGUGGCUUUGUCCCCUUCAGCGACGGCCAAGAGGAUAAACAGAGGUUCUUUGUCCUCGGGUGCCAGUGUAAGAAGCUUUUCCAUAAACUCCCGGCUAGCCAGUUCUCUAGGCAACUUGAAUGCCGCAACACAGGAGCCAGAGAACAAAAAGGCCUCCUCGUCUUCUAAGGCGGGUUUCGUAGCCAGUCCACUCACCAACCUCUUGAACGGCAGCUCCCAGCCGCCUGCCAGAAAUUACCCUGAGCUCAACAACAACCAGUACAGCAGAAGCAACAACAGCAGCGGGAGCACCCUGAGCAACCAGCCGAGCCCUCACAGCAUCAAGACGGAGGAGCACCCCACCCUCCUCCGGCCCUCGUACACCGGCCUCUCUUCUUCCUCAGCGAGAUUCCUGAGCCGUUCGAUCCCCGUAAGUUCGCAGACACCACCUCCUGGUCCUCAGAACCCUGAGUGCAACUUUUGUGCCUUGCCUUCCCAGCCAAGGCUGCCACCCAAGAAAUUUAACAGCUCCAAGGAAGCCUUCUGAGCGAUGCCUUCCCUCUGUGCUGUGAAACUGUCUAUGCACGUCCAUUCUGCUGGCUCCUCUUCAAUCCCUUCAGUCUGAAUAUGUUCAUUACUAAGCCCCCGCCACUCCGGUGAAAGCGCUCCGCUCUUAGACACCAGGUCUUCAUCUGGACAAGCAAUGCAGAGAGAGAGAGAGAGCAGCUGCUUGUCGGAGGAGUCUUUCUGCCUUCCCGCCUUAAAUUAAGGAGAGCGCUAACAUAAGACCUUCAAGAGACUUGAAACCAGAAAAACUCUGGCUAAUGACUACACUAAAUGCACUGAAACUAGGUUUAUGGAGCUGUCAACACUCAGACAGUUGUAACGUUGAAUUUGGUAUCUUGAAAGGUUAUUUUUAAUGUAUUUCGGCAAUACAUCUAUUAUUACAUGUA